Molecule: ribosomal RNA, 497 nt
Filed under: uncultured bacterium
Lineage: Bacteria
Description: partial 16S ribosomal RNA
Rfam family: Bacterial small subunit ribosomal RNA
Source: RNAcentral
GAUGAACGCUGGCGGCGUGCCUAAUACAUGCAAGUCGAGCGUACAGACGAGGAGCUUGCUCCUCUGACGUUAGCGGCGGACGGGUGAGUAACACGUGGAUAACCUACCUAUAAGACUGGGAUAACUUCGGGAAACCGGAGCUAAUACCGGAUAAUAUAUUGAACCGCAUGGUUCAAUAGUGAAAGACGGUUUUGCUGUCACUUAUAGAUGGAUCCGCGCCGCAUUAGCUAGUUGGUAAGGUAACGGGUUACCAAGGCGACGAUGCGUAGCCGACCUGAGAGGGUGAUCGGCCACACGGGAACUGAGACACGGUCCAGACUCCUACGGGAGGCAGCAGUAGGGAAUCUGCCGCAAUGGGCGAAAGCAUGACGGAGCAACGCCGCGUGAGUGAUGAAGGUCUUCGGAUCGUAAAACUCUGUUAUUAGGGAAGAACAAAUGUGUAAGUAACUAUGCACGUCUUGACGGUACCUAAUCAGAAAGCCACGGCUAACUACGUG